UACGGAGGGUGCAAGCAUUGAUCGGAAUUACUGGGCGUAAAGGGCGCGUAGGCGGUUAGAUAAGUCAGAUGUGAAAUUCCGGGGCUCAACCCCGGAGCUGCAUUUGAAACUGUCUAGCUAGAGUUCAGUUAGGGUAAACGGAAUUCCACGUGUAGCGGUGAAAUGCGUAGAUAUGUGGAAGAACACCGGUGGUGAAGACGGUUUACUGGGCUGAUACUGACGCUGAGGCGCGAAAGCAUGGGGAGCAAACAGG
This 253-nucleotide ribosomal RNA is filed under the name uncultured bacterium. RNAcentral's name for it is "partial 16S ribosomal RNA". It matches the Rfam family "Bacterial small subunit ribosomal RNA", at positions 524 to 776 of the family's 1533-position model. The record is from RNAcentral.